UACGGGGGGGGCAAGCGUUGUUCGGAAUUACUGGGCGUAAAGGGCUCGUAGGCGGCCAACUAAGUCGGAUGUGAAAUCCCCAGGCUUAACCUGGGAACUGCAUCCGAUACUGGAUGGCUUGAAUCCGGGAGAGGGAUGCAGAAUUCCACGUGUAGCAGUGAAAUGCGUAGAUAUGUGGAGGAACACCGAUGGCGAAGGCAGCCCCCUGGGCUAAGAUUGACGCUCAUGCACGAAAGCGUGGGGAGCAAACAGG
RNAcentral lists this ribosomal RNA (253 nucleotides) under uncultured bacterium. RNAcentral's name for it is "partial 16S ribosomal RNA". It matches the Rfam family "Bacterial small subunit ribosomal RNA", at positions 524 to 776 of the family's 1533-position model. The record is from RNAcentral.